UAAAAUCAGGUACAAAAAGAAUUUUUUUACUGUUUCUUUAUCCAGCAAAAAUGCACUACCAGUAUGUGUGAUAUCAGAUUUUCCCCUGUAGGUAGAUGUACCAUGUCAUUCUUAGAUUUGUCUGUAUUUCUAGUGUUAGCUAACAGUUCUAAUUUUGAGAUAAUGUGAUGAGUUGCUCCUGAGUCAACAAUCCACUGUUCUUCUUUUUGGUUGGAAUUAGACACUAAACAAGUGACAUUACCUGCCAUGUUAGCCUGGUGAUCACCACAAUCUUUAUUUAGCAAAUUGAGAAUUUGAUUGUACUGUGCACCAGCGAAGUAGUAUCCUUUGUUUUCAGCUGUUGUCUGUCCAUGGCCAUCUUCUUGUGAGCAUGUAUAACUAAGUAUAACUUUUUUUUUCUUUUGUAAAAAAUGCCACUAAGAAUAAAACCAACAAAAUAUUUAUGUGAAAAUGUAAUUUUAACAUAAAGAUUCAUAGUAUUAGUAUAACUAAUUAUAAAUAAUGGAGUAAAUUUUAUAUUAACAACAUGAAAUAAGAUGUAAAGAGUGAGAAGAAGGAAGACAAACAGGGAAAAAAGAAUUCACAUCCAAGUUAACUCGAAAGAGAAAACCAGGAAUUGAAUUUGGUAGUACUAUGAAUUUUUAUCUGCCAUGUUGUCCUUGUCUUGUGUAAAAAAAAAAUCUUACAGUAUCUCUGUCAAAUUAUUUACAGCAGCUGAAGUAAUUCUUUUAGUAAUUAAUCUUAUUGCGAAGGACGAAUAAUGAGAGAAAAGAUUGAAAAAUACUCUUUAGCUUAAUUAAUGCUAUUACACUACUAGGACGACAUUCGUUUCAAAAAUUAAAUACUGGGUGUACUGAAUUCUACUUUUAACCCGACCAACUUUUUUUCUCAUUUAUAUCUAAAUGUAUUUGAUAUAUCGCAAAAAAUAUUUUUCUUCAUGAAGGUUUAUUUAGCCUCAUCUGUUUACACUUAAUGGAGGUUGCAUCUUAAUUAUUUAGAUAUCAGAAUUAAAUGCAUUUGCUUUUAAAGUUUAAAUUUUAAUUAUUCAGAUCUUAGUCAUUAAGUGUGUUUAUUUUUUUAACUUCACAACCACUUAAUGAGUCUGGAUAAAUCUGUAUGAUUAAGAUCUAUAACAGAUACUUAAUUUCAUUAAUAUGCUAUUACAUAUUAAUUAUUAAUUAUCGCCACCGCCUGUCAUUAUCAACUACCACCAUGCCGCCGCCGCCACCAUCAUACUCAAUCACCCCCACUAGCCCCCGUCGGCACCACCACACCACCACCACCACACCACGCCACUAUCAUCCUCACUCAUACCCGCCACCAUUAUCGAUCAUCAUCAUCCAUUAUCCCUACCACUCCGCCACAAUCAUUCUCAUCCAGAAUCAACACUCAUCCACCUCAAUUACCACAACUGAUCAUCCCUCACCAUCAACAGCAACCACCUACACUGCCCAUCAUUAUAACCUACCACCACCCUCCUCAGUCACAACUCCUACCAUUACCCACCAUUAUUAACUAUCACCACCAUCAUCCUCAAUCACAAUCGCCACUACUACCAAUCAGUACUAGCUACUAGUACAAAUCACCACCACCAACCUCCGCCUCUAGUCGGCAUUCACCUGUUACCCCAUCACAACCAACAAUUAUCAUAUUUUAAAAAAUUAUAUAUUUUAUUGAUAGAAUAUUAGAUUAGUUAGUAUUUCAUUUGAAUUUUAUGUUUAUUAAAGAUAAAUUUUAUAUAUUCAUAUGUUAAAAAUAAAACAAUCUUAAUUAUUUAGUAUUCGGGUCUUAAUACACAUCUUAAUAUAUUUAGACGUGUAUUCAGAUUCAGAUGUGUAUUCGAAUUCAGACAUCUUAAUCUUUAAAAAACAAAUGAGCCCUUACACUUCUUUGAGCUUAACCAAAAGGCAAAAGGUAAUUUUGCUCCCAAAAAUAGAGCUGUCAAUAUGGGUCGGGCCAAUUGGCAGGCUGGACUAGGCUAGUCCACCAUUUCGAUGUGCUUUAUAAUGGUCAGCCUACCCCAGCUCUAUGUGGGCCACGGGUUCCCACGGGCCGAACCAUUAUUUUUAAAAAUAUAAUUUUAUUUUUUUCUUUAGGUUCUGACCUACAAAAAAGAUAAUUAUUUAAAAGUUAAAAAAUAUCUUAUUGGAAAAAAAUUGCAAAAUUUAAUAACUUUUAUAUUGUUUCAAUAUAUCAUAAUAAAUACUAAAAAGUAAAAGACAUGACUAUAUUUCAUUAAUUGAAAGUCGAAACUUAAAACAAACUAUUCAAGAGAACUUCAUGAUGCAUAUGAGAUAUCCAACUCAUCAUCUUCAUCAAACACAUUUGAAUCCGCUUGUGACAAUGUUGUCUUAACAUCUUCACUUUCAUCAAAAAUUCAUAUGCAAUAUUAAUUAGUUAAAUAUUAAAAAUAAUUAAAUUUUUAAAAAUUAAUAAUAAUUAAAUUCAUAUAAAGAAAUUACCAGUUUGAGUUCUGAAAAACUGGUGCAACAAAUUUCGAGUAGUAACAAGUGUUUGGACAUUUUUAGAAUAAAUGCAACUUCUAUACUUUGUAAGAACACGCCACUAAUACUAAAUGUUGAUUCCGAUGGUAAAAUGGUAAUAAGAAUGCUAAAUACAUCACGCACCAUAAUUCAAAGAUCGAGAUAUUCUCUAGAAUGGUCCUUCCAAUACAUGACAACAUCAUCUCUUGAAACUCUCGAGAUCAAGUUUUGGUUCAUCUUAGUAAAUAUCCAAUUCUGACUUUCCAUCUCUAAAGACAGUAUACUUUUUAUUUUCUAUAUAUUUUAAAUAAAUAUUUUAUUAGGCCCACGGGUCCCGGCCCAGCCACAGUCAAGCUUCAGGGGCCACGAACUUACUCGGAUCAGUCUUAAAAACCUCGUUUUUAAACGGGCUCCAAAAUUUUUAGCUCAAUCCUACUAAAGAACGGGCUGAGCUGGGCUGGCCCAACGGGUUAAACCCAUAUUAACGGCUCUGCCCAAAAAAGUAAAAUCUUCGAAAGGAAUUUUUUACACUCGAUAGAAAACCUUAGUAUCAUAUUUAUUUUAAAUAAAUACCAUUUUAAAAUAUUACAUCCAAUAAAUAUAUUUUAUCUUUUAGUAAAUAAUAUAAAUAUAGUUACAUCAUACAAUUAAGAGACCAUAUAUGCUAAAUAUUAUUUUUCUCUCUCCCUUUUUGUAUUUUCUCUCACAUAAUUACUGCAUAUCUGCAAACCCCAAUACAAUCUCUUUCUGUUUGCAUACAACUACACUUUCUUUUCUCACAAACACUAGUUUCUUAACUAUUCUCCCACUCAAAUUCUCAUUUUUCUGCUCCGCGUCACCAACGUGUAGAUGGAGUGAAGAUGAUAAAAAACUCAAGCAAAUACCCUCCAACAACAAGCCCAUCUCCAAAUAACAUCUACGACAAAGGGUUAUAUUUCACUUUCUCAAACUAACCACUGGUGUUGACCAAAAUCUCCUUUAUGAGAUUUGGAUCAGCAAUUGCCAGUCUAGGGUUAGGACCAAACCAAUAAAGAAAAUUCUUACCAUAAAUCGUUGACCAAUAAUAGUAGUAAGGCAUGACACGAGAAACUAUGUCAUGGUGAUGGGUAAAAGAACUGGACUUUGAUUCAGCUUCUGCUAUAAUUACUCUUCUGAUCUUUGCUGUGUUGUUGAAGAUUGGGCUGUAAGCUGGUCCAUUUAUGCCUUGUUUGCUGAAGUGCUCUCGAACUUUUAAAGGGACCCAUAUGAGGUCGUAAACGAGUUUCUUUCCUCAAUCCCAAUCGUCCAUCGGUUUUGAAGGAAGUUUCGGCGAACAAGCAUUACAGUGAAACUACCGAUCAAUUAAUUAAACCGGCGAUGGAAAUGAAGGAAGGGUCUGUAAUUCAUCAAGUCCUCGUUAAACUUCUAAAUUUCAGUACCCAUCGCCCAAAUCGCCUAUUUGUAUUCAGUUAUAUUCGAAUGUAUUCUUCGGCUGUAUUCACUUGUAUUCAGGUUUAAUCAAUUGUAUUUAACUAUUUUAUUCAGCAAUAGUUAGUAGUAUUCAAAUGUUUUAUACAACUGUAUUCAGUUGUAGUUAGUUAUAUUCAACUAUUUUAUAAGUUAGUUGUAUUUUGUUGCAUUCAAGAGUUUAUUCAGCUAUAUUCAGUUGUAUUUUUAUUAUAUUCAAGUGUUUUAUUCAGAUGAAUUAAGGUAUAUUUUAUUGUAUUUAACUGUAUUAUUCAUAGGUAUUUCUCUUUAUUCAGCUAUAAUCUUUAUUAUGUAUCUUUCAAAUACAGAUUAAUGAGGGAUCGUUUUAGUUCGCUGAAUUAAAUUGGAAGAAUAUCAUAUGAUUUUGUUUCCUUCCG
This 4327-nucleotide long non-coding RNA is filed under the name Nicotiana benthamiana. RNAcentral's name for it is "long non-coding RNA (NBEN_LNC009139)". The record is from RNAcentral. Lineage: Eukaryota; Viridiplantae; Streptophyta; Magnoliopsida; Solanales; Solanaceae.